RNAcentral lists this ribosomal RNA (227 nucleotides) under uncultured bacterium. RNAcentral's name for it is "partial 16S ribosomal RNA". It matches the Rfam family "Bacterial small subunit ribosomal RNA", at positions 383 to 607 of the family's 1533-position model. The record is from RNAcentral.
CUGAACCAGCCAAGUAGCGUGAAGGAUGACUGCCCUAUGGGUUGUAAACUUCUUUUAUAAAGGAAUAAAGUCGGGUAUGCAUACCCGUUUGCAUGUACUUUAUGAAUAAGGAUCGGCUAACUCCGUGCCAGCAGCUGCGGUAAUACGGAGGAUCCGAGCGUUAUCCGGAUUUAUUGGGUUUAAAGGGAGCGUAGAUGGAUGUUUAAGUCAGUUGUGAAAGUUUGCGG